AUGCCGGGUGCUCUCCAUCCAGAGCCAUGUUGUCUGCUCUCCAUCCAGAGCCAUGUUGUCUGUGGCUACGUGGGCUACAGAGCGGCCAUGUUCUCUCUGUAGGUUUUGGGAUUUGAGGUUGAUGCCGUGAACUCCGUGCAGUUUUCAAACCACACAGGCUAGGCUCAUUGGAAGGGCCAGGUACUGAAAUCCCAGGAACUGCAUGAGCUGUGUGAAGGUCUCAAGGCGAACAGUGUCAAUAAGUAUGACUACGUGCUCACUGGUUACACGAGAGACAAGUCCUUCCUGGCCAUGAUGGUGGAUAUUGUGCAGGAGCUGAAGCAACAGAAUUCUCAACUCGUGUAUGUGUGUGACCCUGUGAUGGGCGACAAGUGGAAAGGGGAAGGCUCCACGUAUGUUCCCCAGGACCUCCUUCCCGUUUACAGGGACAAAGUGGUACCCGUGGCUGACAUCAUCACUCCCAACCAGUUUGAGGCUGAGUUGCUGAGUGGCAGAAAAAUCCACAGCCAGGAAGAAGCAUUCGAGGUGAUGGACUUGCUGCACUGUAUGGGUCCUGACACCGUGGUCAUCACCAGCUCUGACCUGCCCUCCCCACAGGGCAGCGACUACCUGAUUGUACUGGGCAGCCAGAGGAUGAGGAAGCCUGAUGGCUCCACCAUGACCCAGCACAUCAGGAUGGAGAUGCGUAAGGUGGACGCCGUCUUUUUGGGCACCGGGGACCUCUUCGCUGCCAUGCUUCUGGCUUGGACACACAAACACCCCGACAAUCUGAAGGUGGCCUGUGAGAAAACGGUGUCUGCCAUGCUGCACGUCCUGCAGAGGACCAUCCAGUGUGCAAAAGCCGAAGCAGGAGAAGGACAGAAGCCCAGCCCCGCUCAGCUGGAGCUGAGGAUGGUCCAGAGCAAAAGGGACAUGGAGGACCCCUAGAUCGUCGUGCAGGCCGCGGUGCUGUGAGGGCCACGCACACUCGGCCCUGACACACAGCGAGCUGAGGGUGUCCAUCUCCAUCCCUGUGAGAAGCUGUAUCGCCUGCCUUAGAGCCCUGACUGAAACUUGACAUCGUGUUCCUUCCUGAGAGUCGGGUCUCAGCCGGUCUCUAUCGUGAAAAUGUGCCAUUGUACUAUUUUUUUUUUUUUAACAAAUGACAAAGCCGUCAUAGAAAUGUGUGAUUCAGACCCAUGGCCCCUUCCCCAAAGGCUCUGGGCCUCUGACUGCCUCGUGUUGCCUCAUAGGUAUGUAGAAGGUAGGUGGAGGAGGCAAGCUUGCUGCCUCUGGGCCCUUCUAUUGGCCACUGGCUGCCAUUGUCCCAUGUGUGUACACAAUCCCUGAUUGUGGACAGACUUUGCCUGUGUCGGCACUGUCUUUAAAGUUGGGUUAGGUCUUAACCUUUGGCAUCGGAAGGAUGACGUCAAAUAUCUUCAUUGCCAUUCUGGUCUUUCCCUUGUUCCUGCCUUGGAGUGUCUGUGUGUGUCUUUGCUGCUCCUUGGGUGUCCAGAAUGUCAGACGUAUACUGCUGUUGGACUGUGUAGGAAAGUUCCCUAUCCCCAUGCUUGGGUAGGUGCACA
Molecule: RNA transcript, 1565 nt
Organism: Mastomys coucha (southern multimammate mouse)
Lineage: Eukaryota; Metazoa; Chordata; Mammalia; Rodentia; Muridae
Gene name: pyridoxal kinase pseudogene
Exons: 1
Source: RefSeq, a predicted model, not a curated record